UAGUAGGUGGAAGCUGUACGGGCAUGAAU
RNAcentral lists this small RNA (29 nucleotides) under Bombyx mori (domestic silkworm). RNAcentral describes it as "ovarian small RNA-22915". Lineage: Eukaryota; Metazoa; Arthropoda; Insecta; Lepidoptera; Bombycidae. The record is from RNAcentral.